UAGGGAAUAUUAGUAAUGGGCGAAAGCCUGAACUAGCAACACCGCGUGUGCGAAGAAGGCCUUCGGGUUGUAAAGCACUUUUUGAGAGGAUGAGGAAGGACGGUACUCUCAGAAUAAGUCUCGGCUAACUACGUGCCAGCAGCCGCGGCAACACGUAGGAGGCAAACGUUAUCCGGAUUUACUGGGCGUAAAGCGCGUGUAGGUGGUUCUGUAAGUAGGGCGUGAAAGCUCCCGGCUCAACUGGGAGAGGCCGUUCUAAACUACAGAACUAGAGGAUGGUAGAGGGAGGUGGAAUUCCAGGUGUAGCGGUGGAAUGCGCAGAUAUCUGGAGGAACACCAGUGGCGAAAGCGGCCUCCUGGACCAUUCCUGACACUCAGACGCGAAAGCUAGGGUAGCAAACG
This 402-nucleotide ribosomal RNA is filed under the name uncultured prokaryote. RNAcentral's name for it is "bacterial SSU rRNA". It matches the Rfam family "Bacterial small subunit ribosomal RNA", at positions 355 to 774 of the family's 1533-position model. The record is from RNAcentral.